CGGACGGGUGAGUAAUGCUUGGGAAUCUGGCUUAUGGAGGGGGAUAACUACGGGAAACUGUAGCUAAUACCGCGUAAUAUCUUCGGAUUAAAGGGUGGGACUUUCGGGCCACCUGCCAUAAGAUGAGCCCAAGUGGGAUUAGGUAGUUGGUGGGGUAAAGGCCUACCAAGCCGACGAUCUCUAGCUGGUCUGAGAGGAUGACCAGCCACACUGGAACUGAGACACGGUCCAGACUCCUACGGGAGGCAGCAGUGGGGAAUAUUGCACAAUGGGGGGGACCCUGAUGCAGCCAUGCCGCGUGAAUGAAGAAGGCCUUCGGGUUGUAAAGUUCUUUCGGUGAUGAGGAAGGUGUUUGUUUUAAUAGAACAAGCAAUUGACGUUAGUCACAGAAGAAGCACCGGCUAACUCCGUGCCAGCAGCCGCGGUAAUACGGAGGGUGCGAGCGUUAAUCGGAAUGACUGGGCGUAAAGGGCACGCAGGCGGUGACUUAAGUGAGAUGUGAAAGCCCCGAGCUUAACUUGGGAAUUGCAUUUCAUACUGGGUCGCUAGAGUAUUUUAGGGAGGGGUAGAAUUCCACGUGUAGCGGUGAAAUGCGUAGAGAUGUGGAGGAAUACCGAAGGCGAAGGCAGCCCCUUGGGAAUAUACUGACGCUCAUGUACGAAAGCGUGGGGAGCAAACAGGAUUAGAUACCCUGGUAGUCCACGCUGUAAACGCUGUCGAUUUGGGGAUUGG
RNAcentral lists this ribosomal RNA (732 nucleotides) under uncultured Actinobacillus sp. Its description in RNAcentral is "bacterial SSU rRNA". It matches the Rfam family "Bacterial small subunit ribosomal RNA", at positions 99 to 827 of the family's 1533-position model. Lineage: Bacteria; Pseudomonadati; Pseudomonadota; Gammaproteobacteria; Pasteurellales; Pasteurellaceae. The record is from RNAcentral.